GCAAACUUGGUCAUUUAGAGGAAGUAAAAGUCGUAACAAGGUUUCCGUAGGUGAACCUGCGGAAGGAUCAUUACCGAGCAAGGGUGCCUGGGUCCUCCCCGGCCGCCCGACCUCCCAACCCUUUGUCUACUACACCAAAACGUUGCUUCGGCAGGCCCGCUGACCCCUCCCUCGCGGAGGGCGACGCCGCCGGGGACCUUUGCUGGUUCCGGGCCCGCGCCUGUCGAUGGCCCCUCUAAAACUCUUGUCGAAACGUGUCGUCUGAGUACUUAUAACAAAUGAAAAACCAAAACUUUCAACAACGGAUCUCUUGGUUCUGGCAUCGAUGAAGAACGCAGC
RNAcentral lists this unclassified non-coding RNA (339 nucleotides) under uncultured fungus. RNAcentral describes it as "partial contains small subunit ribosomal RNA, internal transcribed spacer 1, and 5.8S ribosomal RNA". The stretch from base 1 to 73 matches the Rfam family "Eukaryotic small subunit ribosomal RNA", at positions 1759 to 1831 of the family's 1831-position model. Lineage: Eukaryota; Fungi. The record is from RNAcentral.